CCUGGGAGACAACGAGCAGAGACACAAGCCCUUCCUCGCCACCUUCCACAACUGACGAGCCCACGUGGGAAGUCCACACAGGCCCUCUCUACAGGUGGGCGCAGACGCUGCAUGGGCCUGGGAGGAGCAGAGGCUUGGUCUGGCCCUCAGGAGACGUGCACUCUUCCCAGAGCUGUCCUCCAGACGCCACCAGGACAAGAGGGAAGCUACGUCUCCCGCCAAGGUCUCAACAGCAACGCUCCUGACGUUUUGGGCCAGGGAGAGUGUGACUCCACCCCAGGCAUGAGCCAUCCUAACUCAGAGACCCUAACAAGCAUCCUGUAGUCCUUCUGGCACACACAAGACGUAAACAUGGCCUCCCUAUCGAACAAAGAUGACCUUCGACUGCUAACACAUAAGAAAUGCUGAGGAACAGUGGACUAAGGCCAGCCAUUCUACGCAUACUGAAAAAUGGAACAGAGGAAAAAUAACCCUGAACUU
This is a long non-coding RNA of Neofelis nebulosa (Clouded leopard), 480 nucleotides long. RefSeq lists it as uncharacterized. The record is from RefSeq and is a predicted model, not a curated record. The transcript is spliced from 2 exons. NCBI's taxonomy places the organism in Eukaryota, Metazoa, Chordata, Mammalia, Carnivora, Felidae.